AACGCACCUUGCGCUCCUUGGUAUUCCGAGGAGCAUGCCUGUUUGAGUGUCAUUAAAUUCUCAACCUUUAUUAACUUUUUGGUUAGUAAGUGGAUUGGAAGUGGGGGCAUGUUGGUUUCUUCAUUGAAAUAAACUCCCCUGAAAUGCAUUAGCUGGUUGCCUUGUGCGAACAUGUCUAUUGGUGUGAUAAUUAUCUACGCCGUGGGCUAUUUGCCGUUUAUAGCACUGCUUAUAAUCGUCUGUUCAUUCAGACAAUAUAUGACAAUUUGACCUCAAAUCAGGUAGGACUACCCGCUGAACUUAA
RNAcentral lists this unclassified non-coding RNA (304 nucleotides) under Hypholoma sp. Its description in RNAcentral is "partial contains 5.8S ribosomal RNA, internal transcribed spacer 2, and large subunit ribosomal RNA". The stretch from base 1 to 52 matches the Rfam family "5.8S ribosomal RNA", at positions 103 to 154 of the family's 154-position model. RNAcentral also lists the same sequence under 2 other names. Lineage: Eukaryota; Fungi; Basidiomycota; Agaricomycetes; Agaricales; Strophariaceae. The record is from RNAcentral.